GGGUUGUGAGGUUAAGCGACUAAGCGUACACGGUGGAUGCCCUGGCAGUCAGAGGCGAUGAAGGACGUGCUAAUCUGCGAUAAGCGCCGGUAAGGUGAUAUGAACCGUUAUAACCGGCGAUUUCCGAAUGGGGAAACCCAGUGUGAUUCGUCACACUAUCAUUAACUGAAUCCAUAGGUUAAUGAGGCGAACCGGGGGAACUGAAACAUCUAAGUACCCCGAGGAAAAGAAAUCAACCGAGAUUCCCCCAGUAGCGGCGAGCGAACGGGGAGGAGCCCAGAGCCUGAAUCAGCAUGUGUGUUAGUGGAAGCGUCUGGAAAGGUGCGCGAUACAGGGUGACAGCCCCGUACACAAAAGCGCAUGUGCUGUGAGCUCGAUGAGUAGGGCGGGACACGUGGUAUCCUGUCUGAAUAUGGGGGGACCAUCCUCCAAGGCUAAAUACUCCUGACUGACCGAUAGUGAACCAGUACCGUGAGGGAAAGGCGAAAAGAACCCCGGCGAGGGGAGUGAAAAAGAACCUGAAACCGUGUACGUACAAGCAGUGGGAGCACCCUUCGGGGUGUGACUGCGUACCUUUUGUAUAAUGGGUCAGCGACUUAUAUUCUGUAGCAAGGUUAACCGUAUAGGGGAGCCGGAGGGAAACCGAGUCUUAACCGGGCGUUAAGUUGCAGGGUAUAGACCCGAAACCCGGUGAUCUAGCCAUGGGCAGGUUGAAGGUUGGGUAACACUAACUGGAGGACCGAACCGACUAAUGUUGAAAAAUUAGCGGAUGACCUGUGGCUGGGGGUGAAAGGCCAAUCAAACCGGGAGAUAGCUGGUUCUCCCCGAAAGCUAUUUAGGUAGCGCCUCGUGAAUUCAUCUCCGGGGGUAGAGCACUGUUUCGGCUAGGGGGCCAUCCCGGCUUACCAACCCGAUGCAAACUGCGAAUACCGGAGAAUGUUAUCACGGGAGACACACGGCGGGUGCUAACGUCCGUCGUGAAGAGGGAAACAACCCAGACCGCCAGCUAAGGUCCCAAAGUCAUGGUUAAGUGGGAAACGAUGUGGGAAGGCCCAGACAGCCAGGAUGUUGGCUUAGAAGCAGCCAUCAUUUAAAGAAAGCGUAAUAGCUCACUGGUCGAGUCGGCCUGCGCGGAAGAUGUAACGGGGCUAAACCAUGCACCGAAGCUGCGGCAGCGACGCUGAUGCGUUGUUGGGUAGGGGAGCGUUCUGUAAGCCUGCGAAGGUGACCUGUGAGGGUUGCUGGAGGUAUCAGAAGUGCGAAUGCUGACAUAAGUAACGAUAAAGCGGGUGAAAAGCCCGCUCGCCGGAAGACCAAGGGUUCCUGUCCAACGUUAAUCGGGGCAGGGUGAGUCGACCCCUAAGGCGAGGCCGAAAGGCGUAGUCGAUGGGAAACGGGUUAAUAUUCCCGUACUUGGUGUUACUGCGAAGGGGGGACGGAGAAGGCUAUGUUGGCCGGGCGACGGUUGUCCCGGUUUAAGCGUGUAGGUGUGUGUUCCAGGUAAAUCCGGUUCACUUUAACACUGAGGCGUGAUGACGAGGCACUACGGUGCUGAAGCAACAAAUGCCCUGCUUCCAGGAAAAGCCUCUAAGCAUCAGGUAACAUCAAAUCGUACCCCAAACCGACACAGGUGGUCAGGUAGAGAAUACCAAGGCGCUUGAGAGAACUCGGGUGAAGGAACUAGGCAAAAUGGUGCCGUAACUUCGGGAGAAGGCACGCUGACACGUAGGUGAAGUGAUUUACUCACGGAGCUGAAGUCAGUCGAAGAUACCAGCUGGCUGCAACUGUUUAUUAAAAACACAGCACUGUGCAAACACGAAAGUGGACGUAUACGGUGUGACGCCUGCCCGGUGCCGGAAGGUUAAUUGAUGGGGUCAGCGCAAGCGAAGCUCCUGAUCGAAGCCCCGGUAAACGGCGGCCGUAACUAUAACGGUCCUAAGGUAGCGAAAUUCCUUGUCGGGUAAGUUCCGACCUGCACGAAUGGCGUAAUGAUGGCCAGGCUGUCUCCACCCGAGACUCAGUGAAAUUGAACUCGCUGUGAAGAUGCAGUGUACCCGCGGCAAGACGGAAAGACCCCGUGAACCUUUACUAUAGCUUGACACUGAACAUUGAGCCUUGAUGUGUAGGAUAGGUGGGAGGCUUUGAAGUGUGGACGCCAGUCUGCAUGGAGCCGACCUUGAAAUACCACCCUUUAAUGUUUGAUGUUCUAACGUGGACCCGUAAUCCGGGUUGCGGACAGUGUCUGGUGGGUAGUUUGACUGGGGCGGUCUCCUCCUAAAGAGUAACGGAGGAGCACGAAGGUUGGCUAAUCCUGGUCGGACAUCAGGAGGUUAGUGCAAUGGCAUAAGCCAGCUUGACUGCGAGCGUGACGGCGCGAGCAGGUGCGAAAGCAGGUCAUAGUGAUCCGGUGGUUCUGAAUGGAAGGGCCAUCGCUCAACGGAUAAAAGGUACUCCGGGGAUAACAGGCUGAUACCGCCCAAGAGUUCAUAUCGACGGCGGUGUUUGGCACCUCGAUGUCGGCUCAUCACAUCCUGGGGCUGAAGUAGGUCCCAAGGGUAUGGCUGUUCGCCAUUUAAAGUGGUACGCGAGCUGGGUUUAGAACGUCGUGAGACAGUUCGGUCCCUAUCUGCCGUGGGCGCUGGAGAACUGAGGGGGGCUGCUCCUAGUACGAGAGGACCGGAGUGGACGCAUCACUGGUGUUCGGGUUGUCAUGCCAAUGGCACUGCCCGGUAGCUAAAUGCGGAAGAGAUAAGUGCUGAAAGCAUCUAAGCACGAAACUUGCCCCGAGAUGAGUUCUCCCUGAGACUUAGAGUCUCCUGAAGGAACGUUGAAGACGACGACGUUGAUAGGCCGGGUGUGUAAGCGCAGCGAUGCGUUGAGCUAACCGGUACUAAUGAACCGUGAGGCUUAACCUUACAACGCCGAAG
RNAcentral lists this ribosomal RNA (2927 nucleotides) under Salmonella enterica. RNAcentral describes it as "bacterial LSU rRNA". It matches the Rfam family "Bacterial large subunit ribosomal RNA". RNAcentral also lists the same sequence under 5 other names. Lineage: Bacteria; Pseudomonadati; Pseudomonadota; Gammaproteobacteria; Enterobacterales; Enterobacteriaceae. The record is from RNAcentral.